This 269-nucleotide ribosomal RNA is filed under the name uncultured bacterium. RNAcentral's name for it is "partial 16S ribosomal RNA". It matches the Rfam family "Bacterial small subunit ribosomal RNA", at positions 793 to 1055 of the family's 1533-position model. The record is from RNAcentral.
GUCCACGCCCUAAACGAUGAUCACUAGAUGUUGGUUUCGCUUGCGAAAUCAGUAUCGUAGCUAACGCGUUAAGUGAUCCGCCUGGGGAGUACGGUCGCAAGAUUAAAACUCAAAGAAAUUGACGGGGGUCCGCACAAGCGGUGGAACAUGUGGUUUAAUUCGACACUACGCGAGAAACCUUACCUAGACUUGACAUGCUUUUGACUGCUAUGGAAACAUAGUUUUCCGGGUUUACUCGGACAAUUGCACAGGUGCUGCAUGGCUGUCGU